GAGGGUUCCGCUGAGCUGCUCACAAGAGCGUGCGGAGGCCCGCGGCCGGCCCUGGCCCCUGUGGUGGCAGCAACUGGCUGGCUUCCCGGGCGGCUACCUCCAGCUGCAGCUGUCGGUGCUAUUUGCAGCUCUCCACAUCCUGAGAGCUGGACGCCGAGGACCGCUCCCUGGAGGGCGUGCGUAAAAUGCAGCAGCGGAGCGGUGAGGACGAGAUUACCGGAAAAACUGGGAGCGGAGUCAGGCUCGUUCUGGAGCAGGGAGAGGCCUGGGAAGUUGCGAAACGUUGACCUGCAGGGUCUUGAGGAACUGUCGGCCUGGGCUGCCCCCGUGGGUCAUUGAACAUUAAUCAGCCACCAGUCCUCGUCCAAGCCAACCGAAAUAGAGUCAGCAGGCAGAAUGACGAAUACAGUUUGAAAGGGAACGAACUUCCUCCUAUUCUCUCCUUGGAAAGGCCUUUCCAGACUCUCGAACUCAUCCCUGUCACAUUACCCUGUUGUGUUAUCUUUGUGGGCCUGCGCAGCACCUGAAAUGAUCUGUCUUAGGGCCGAGUACAAUGCCCAGCUCGUUUGUAAAUGAGUGAAGAGUCCCCUACUAGCAGGCUGCCUACUCAUCAAUCAAGUAGUUGUUGGGUUUCUCAAUUUUACCUUUGGAGAUAUUGUCUUCGACCUACGGGAAGGAACUGGAUCUAUUUGAGGAGAGAAGAAACUAUGGAGGCCGGGAGCGGUGGCUCAUGUCUGUAAUCCUAGCACUUUGGGAGUCCGAGGUGGGUGGAUCGCCUAAUGUCAAGAGUUCAAGACCAGCCUGACCAACAUGGUAAAAUCCCGGCUCUACUAAGAAUACAAAAAAAAAACUAGCCGGGCAUGGUGGCGGGUGCCUGUAAUCCUAGCUACCUACUCACGAGGCUGAGGCAGGAGAAACGCUUGAACCUGGGAGGCAGAGGUUGCAGUGAGCCGAGAUCGCACCAUUGCACUCCAGCCUGGGCAACAAGAGUGAAACUCCAUCUCAAAAACAAUCAAAGAAACAAACAAAAAAAAAACUAUGGAGACCCAAGUUCCAGGGCCCUUGGGUGGAGAAUAAAUUUUAGGAAUUCCCUUGGAUAUCUGACAGUAGAAGCUACUCUUUGUAAGUCUGUUGCUGUGAAAUCACAACAUAGCUCAUUUAGCAGCGGGACAGCCCAUCUCUGGAAAAAAAUGAUGUGAGGGUGGAAUUACGCCUUGGGAGGCCAAGGAGGGAGGAUUGCUUGAGGCCAGGAAUUCAAGACCAGCCUGGACAACAUAGCAAGACUCUGUCUCUACAAAAAAAUAAUUAAAAAAAAAUUAGGCAUGGUGGUGCAUGCCUGUAGUCCUAACCUACUUGAGAGGCUGAGGUAGGAGGACUGCUUGAACCCAGGAAGUUUAGACUAUAGUGAGCCAUGAUUGUGCCACUGCACUCCAGCCUGGGUGACAGAGCAAGACUCUGUCUCAUAAAAAAAAAAAAAUACAAAAAGAGAUAUUCAUAAUAAAAUAAAAUGGAAAUAUUUUGAUGAUUUCUUAGUGAGAUUUUAAGAAUUGUUAUUAAUAGCCUACUAAGACCUAGAGGUAAGAACAAAUUAGAUUUCGCCUAAAAAUGAAGAUGUAGCAAAAAAUAAUAAAGAAAAAAAUGGCAUCUCUGUUUUUUGUUUUUUUUGUUUGUUUGUUUUUUUCAGACGGAGUCUUGCUCUUUUGCCCAGGCUGGAGUGCAGUGGCGUGAUUUCAGCUCUCUGCAACCUCUGCCUCCUGGGUUCAAGCAAUUUUCCUGCCUCAGCCUCCCGAGUAGCUGGGA
This is a long non-coding RNA of Pongo pygmaeus (Bornean orangutan), 1800 nucleotides long. RefSeq lists it as uncharacterized. The transcript is spliced from 3 exons. The record is from RefSeq and is a predicted model, not a curated record. Lineage: Eukaryota; Metazoa; Chordata; Mammalia; Primates; Hominidae.